CCUGAGGUACGGUCCCGCCUCGAGGCCCCGGCCCGGCUUCUCUUUGUCUGCGCCGGGUCCUCCGCUGUCUCCGGACCGCGACCCGCCUCUGCGGGCGGCCCUCGCUGCGCGCUUCUGGCCUGCUUCCGGAUCUCCGGGCCUCGGUUCUCGCGGCCCCCAGCCCGCAGGCGUCUCCCAGGCCCGGCAGGGCCUCCAAACCCGGUGCUCUAGGACCGCGGGGCGGGCCAGUGCCGGGUACUCCCAAGCUGCGCCUCCGGUGCGGAGGGGGCGCGGGAUGCAGGUCCUCUGAUCCCCGCCUUCUCUCCUCUGAUCCCCGCCUUCUCUCCUCCGCCUCUACUCGUCGCGCUGCGCCCCGACCCCAGCGCGGCCUGUUCGCGCCUCAAGCGGCUCUUCGCGGCGGUGCGGCCCCCGACGCCACGCGGACCCCCCCCCCCCGCCAGGCCUCGGCCCCGCAGGCAGAACACAGCCCCACCAGCCGCACACGAGACCGCCUGCAGUCGCACCACAGCCCUGCGCGGGCUCACUGCCCCUGCAGCCCCACGCCAACAAGCCCCCGACACCCCGCAGACACACUCGGGCCCCCGCAGUCACAACCCCAUACGCGCACAAUCUCAUGCAGACACGGCCCACACAGGCGCAGUCCCACAACCCCCUAUAAACAAUUGCACACAAACAACCCCACGCAGGCACCGCAUCACUCGGUCCCCCCGAGACUCAGCACAUUCACAAGCUCUCGGCAGACCCCCAAACCCCGUGACAUUCGCACGGAAGGCGGAUCAGAAAAUACACAGCCACACGGAUACACACACGGACUAAAACGCGCAUCCAGGAGCUCACCCCGGGCUCGUAAGUCACUGGGAAAAUAUUAAAGCGUUCCUUCCCUCCCCAGCCAUCUGUGGCGCGCGCGCGGGCGCGCGCACGGAGACACGCACCCCCCCCACUCCAGUUCCUAAGCGCCUCGGAGCCUCCCAGCCGGUGACCCCGGCCCCCGCGGCGAGAGCCGCGGGAGCGUCUCCC
This 1017-nucleotide long non-coding RNA is filed under the name Sus scrofa (pig). Its description in RNAcentral is "lncRNA (ENSSSCG00070003582.1)". The record is from RNAcentral. Lineage: Eukaryota; Metazoa; Chordata; Mammalia; Artiodactyla; Suidae.